This 429-nucleotide ribosomal RNA is filed under the name Gemmatimonadota bacterium. Its description in RNAcentral is "Gemmatimonadetes bacterium partial 16S ribosomal RNA". It matches the Rfam family "Bacterial small subunit ribosomal RNA", at positions 355 to 776 of the family's 1533-position model. The record is from RNAcentral. Lineage: Bacteria; Pseudomonadati; Gemmatimonadota.
UAGGGAAUCUUCGGCAAUGGACGAAAGUCUGACCGAGCAACGCCGCGCGAGUGAAGAAGGUUUUCGGAUCGUAAAACUCUGUUGUUAGAGAAGAACAAGGACGUUAGUAACUGAACGUCCCCUGACGGUAUCUAACCAGAAAGCCACGGCUAACUACGUGCCAGCAGCCGCGGUAAUACGUAGGUGGCAAGCGUUGUCCGGAUUGAUUGGGCGUAAAGCGAGCGCAGGCGGUUUCUUAAGUCUGAUGUGAAAGCCCCCGGCUCAACCGGGGAGGGUCAUUGGAAACUGGGUGACUUGAGUGCAGAAGAGGCGAGUGAAAUUCCAUGUGUAGCGGUGAAAUGCGUAGAUAUAUGGAGGAACACCAGUGGCGAAGGCGGCUCUCUGGUCUGUGACUGACGCUGAGGCUCGAAAGCGUGGGGAGCAAACAGG